RNAcentral lists this ribosomal RNA (239 nucleotides) under uncultured Rhizomicrobium sp. Its description in RNAcentral is "partial 16S ribosomal RNA". It matches the Rfam family "Bacterial small subunit ribosomal RNA", at positions 102 to 358 of the family's 1533-position model. The record is from RNAcentral. Lineage: Bacteria; Pseudomonadati; Pseudomonadota; Alphaproteobacteria; Micropepsales; Micropepsaceae.
ACGGGUGCGUAACGCGUGGGAAUAUACCUAUUGGUUCGGAACAACUGCGGGAAACUGCAGCUAAUACCGAAUGUGCCCUCACGGGGAAAGAUUUAUCGCCAAUGGAUUAGCCCGCGUCCGAUUAGCUAGUUGGUGGGGUAACGGCUCACCAAGGCUCCGAUCGGUAGCUGUUCUGAGAGGAAGAUCAGCCACACUGGGACUGAGACACGGCCCAGACUCCUACGGGAGGCAGCAGUGGG